Ostrinia furnacalis (Asian corn borer) is the source of this 1284-nucleotide long non-coding RNA. RefSeq lists it as uncharacterized. The record is from RefSeq and is a predicted model, not a curated record. NCBI's taxonomy places the organism in Eukaryota, Metazoa, Arthropoda, Insecta, Lepidoptera, Crambidae. The transcript is spliced from 2 exons.
ACAAACUUCAUAACCAAAUACAAUUUAAUCAACAGUGAACAGUACGGCUUUCAAAAAUUGAAAUCAACUUCUACAGCAAUUUUUUCGCUAACGCAUCAUGUUUUAAAUAGUGUGAAUGACGAUAAGUUGACUACUGCACUGUUUCUUGAUUUGUCGAAAGCAUUCGACCAUAUCUCCCAUGAGAAACUACUUACCAAAAUUCAUGAAGUUGGCAUUAGGGGGCCUGCGUACACAUGGCUUGCAUCAUACUUAUCAAACCGCAAACAGAAAGUAGUCAUUAGCGGAUUAACCAAAAAUAAAGAUCUUUUAUUUUACUCGUCUGACGAAAGACAAAACAAGAGUGGAGUCCCACAAGGGAGUGUAUUGGGACCCACCCUAUUCUUAUUAUACAUAAAUAAUUUAUCUGACGUAACAAAUCAUAAAUGUAUUCUAUUUGCUGAUGACAUUACAAUAAUUAUAACCACUGACAAAAAAAUAAAUACAAUUAAGGACCACGAAAUUGACAUAAACAAUACUUUACAUAAUACUAUCCAAUGGCUUGACAACAAUAAUUUGACAAUUAAUCUGAAUAAAACUAAUUACAUACAAUUUAAUCAAUCCAAACACUUACAAUAUAAUUUUAAUUUAAAUAUAAAUGUUGGAAAUGUAGCAAUCAAGAAGGCAUCCGAAACAAAAUUUUUAGGUAUAACAAUCGACCAAGACAUUAAUUGGAAGGCACAUGUAGAUGAUCUCUGUAUAAGAAUCAAUCGGUUUGUAUAUGCAUUGAAACAAGUUAGGAAAGUGACUAAUAUAUCAACAGCACUAGUGUCUUACCAUGCCUAUGUUGAAUCGAUUCUGCGCUACGGCCUCAUAGCGUGGGGAAAUAGUACAGAUUUUAAUAGAGCCUUCAUCGCGCAAAAAAAAUGUAUUAGAGCUAUAGCUGGGAUACCAUCCGACAAAUCGUGUAGACCCUUAUUUCUAGAGUUUGGUUUGUUACCAUUACCGUCUUUGUAUAUUUUAGAAAUAUGUACUUUUGUCAAGAAACAUUUUACGUUGUUCAAAAGAGUCUGCGAUAUAAAUUUGCGAACCCGUAGAGACCCAGAUAGACUUGUUCUGGAAGUCAUACCUAGAUCUGAGAAAUAUAACCGAAAUUGUGUAGCAAUGUGUGUUAGAAUAUAUAAUAAAAUACCAAAAAGUAUAAAAACAUUAAAUUCUAGCCAAUUUUCAAAUAAACUGCGUGGAUGGCUUAAAAGUAAAAACUAUUAUAGUGUCACAGAGUUCCUUAAUGACCGAGAGUUUUGAAUA